RNAcentral lists this ribosomal RNA (71 nucleotides) under Pelodiscus sinensis (Chinese soft-shelled turtle). The record is from RNAcentral. Lineage: Eukaryota; Metazoa; Chordata; Testudines; Trionychidae.
CCCAGAAGCAAAGCUGGGCCUGGUUCGUGCUUGGAUGGGAGACCCUGUGGGAAUACUGGGUGCGGUAGGGA